CUUUCACACCGGUCACUGAGAAAAGGGGGCCGGACUCAGUCGACUCCGUCCAGCUUUCUCCCUACAAAACGUCCUCCGUGCACAAUGUCAACCGGGACAGAAGAAAGAAGGCCCCGGAAAGAAUAUUCACCAAGUCUUUCGAUUUCCCAAACUUUGACAGGGUGUCGUCGUCAUCCAGCUCACCCUCCGGCCCGGAGGAGCCGCGCGGGACAAGUGGCUCGCAUCCGCCGGAGACAAGAGUUACUUUCGCGACACGCGCCGACCUCUUCAUAUUUACGCCAGAGUUUGUCAAAUGGUUGUGUGCUGCUAUUUAGAAUCGUCCACGCGCGUGAAACAGAGCGAAGAUGGUCGGCCGCCUACAGCAGUCGCCGCGGGGGAAGAGCUCACGAUCUCGAGUGAGGAAGCUGCUCCGAGGAAAAAAAAACAGAUCUGCACAGAGAGUGGAAGUGACGCAGGCGGGAGGCGUCAGCUGGACGCUCGCUCUUUCUAGGAGAGCUGUGUGACGUGUUCGCUCUCGUCAGCUGUGUGUGCAUGUGUGUGUGUGCGCGUGUGUGUGUUUUGGCGCCGAGGGGGUUUGCAAAAUAAAUCUUCACACACUAACUGCAUCCGUUAGAAUAUCUUUGCAAAGAAUAUAUUUAGCAAAGGAUUCGUGUGUGUGUGUGUGUGUGUGUGUGUGUGUGUGUGUGUGUGUGUGUGUGUGUUGCAUCCUCUCCCAGGGCCGGUUGGCAGUCAGGCUACUGUAAACAUCCUUGACUGGAAGCUGGUUUUAGGUUCUGGGGCUUUCAGUCGGAUGUUUGCAGCAGCCAACUGCUAGUACCAUCGCUGCGCUUCGACCCCGCCGCCAACAGGUGCGCAGGGCGCUCAGAGGCCGCUACGAAGGCAGCGGAUUAACGGGACGCUGACGGGGGACAUUGAUUUAACGGGUAAUUUGAUCAAAGGAAAAUGUUUAAAUCCUGCUGAGUUUAGUUGUCAUGGUUUUGGUAUUUCACUCCCAAGUUAUGAUACUGUUGUUCUAACCCGAAUGAUAGUUGAGGAAACCCCUGACACUCAAUUGAAGGACUUAAAAUAUGAGUAACUUUCCAUGGUUCAUGUGUGGUGCAUUUGAAUCACAUGCAAAUUCAAACCUAAUAGUGUUUGUUUAUUUUAAUUCAAUCACAGUCCCAAUAAAACCUCUUGAACCACCUAGUGUGAACGUGGAAAAGGGCACAAAUUUGUGAAAAACCCAAUUCAAUCAUUAAAGAAAGAAUGCUGUUCCGCCAUGGGAAGCGGCGGCGGGAGAUAGUUGACUCCACUCAGUUCCCUGUGGACGGGAGCGGCUUCAUCCUCAGCAUUGGGGGAUGGAAGGAAGUGUAGAAGGGAAAGCGGAGCUAGAUGGACAGAUGACCAGCAUGAGGGGUUGUUGAGGCAACGGUGAAAUGGCGGGAGAUGGAGGUGGAGGAAGUGGGUGUAACAUACACUACAAGACCAGAGACUGGGAAGGAAGGAAGCGUUCUAAUAUUACUAAAGUCCUCCACCCCUGCAUUCAUCAAGCCAUGAAUGAAAACAUGCUGUGCUUUUUUGCAGUUUCUGUCCAAACAGUCCCAGUCGUUCCCGCCUCUGUCGCGGAGAACCCCCCUAGGGAGUCUCUCGCAAUCUCUCAAAUGCUCCUCAACGUGAAACAGGAAGUCAGGAAGUAUAUCUGCUGGAGCUUCAGCAUUUGGAUGUAACUAAAUCCCUUAUAAUUUUAAAGAAAAUAAGGAGAUUUCCUGUCAAAUGUUUUGCUGUAGUUGGAGAAUAUAAAUGUUGGUGACGAGGUGUGUUCAAUAUUUGUUGUUUUCAUUGAUGGUCACAGACCAGAAAAUGUUGCACUACAGCCACACUUGGAUGCACUUUUUCUUCAAUUUAGUUGAACUGCGCUGUGGUUGCUAUUUCAGAGGGCUGUAGCAACAUGCAUUCUCCCUACUGACCACUAGGGGCAACAUCUCCUGUUGCAAAAAAUGUGUCCGAUUGGAUAGACAGCAUCCACUGGUGCACAAUCUCCCUUUUGAAAAUGUAUUAUUGAAGUUUGACGUUGGUAUCAACUUUGAUCUCUGAGCUCCAGGAAGUGUAAACAUCCUACACUCUCGGUGUGGCGCCCCUGGUGGCCGGGAGUGGGAAUGUUUAUACUGCCUGGCUCAGGAAGUCUACUAGCAGCCGGGGAGGGACCUUUUAUGUUCAUGUUGUCUGUCUAGUCACCAUCAUCAGUGCGAAAAAACACAGGCUGGACCCACGUGAUGUGAUUGAGGUUGUUCUAAUGCUUCAGAUACAUCUAGCAAAAUGAUUUUUUUUAAUGCACCCGAGCUGCUGAAAGUUGCUUUUACAACCUCUGUGUUAAAUGCGGCUCCCUUAGUGUUGACGCAUUAAAACCACAUUUUCGGCGCGGUUAUAGGAACCACCCACAGAUUCACAGUGCGAUACCGCAGGCCCACAUUUCCUCUGGGUCACAUCUUUUUUUUUUUUCAUUCUAAAAAGGAAUUUGACCGUGUCCAAUUUAACUUGAUGCAAGUGUCCGGUGUGAAUAAAGAGCUAUUAAAGCUGAAGGAGUUGUGCGGUGCUUCUGACAUCCGUGGUUCGACUUGGGGAAUGCUCUCCAUUCGGGACAGGAAACGGGGAGCGGCACAUCUCCGAUUGGCCAGUUCCCUUGACCCAGCGACCUGAGUCGUGGCCGUCCCACUGGGGCAGGGACACACAAACACACACACACACACACACACACACAAACGGACCCUUCAAAGCAAAUGACGCAGUCCGGGGAGACGACAGACUGGGAAAAGUAGCAAUAAGUCUGGGUACUCUUUUUUUCUUUUUUAAGCGACUAUUCUGUAAUUGUGUUCAAAAACUUACAAGAUCACAUUAAAAGGUAUUUAUUUUGAAAGGUAAAAACCAACAAUGACGUGAAAACCAUAAUACUGGUCUUCCUAUAGGUCUGUGUGUGUGUGUGUUUUUUGGCGUGGUGAUGAGGGGGGGGAUGUAAAGAGGAAGCAGAAACAGUGGGUGUUGCCUGUCUGCUAUUGGUGUAUUUUUAAUGUGUAAUACAGACAUGGGGAGGGAGGAUGUGUCUGUUGGUCCAGCCUAGAUCUCACUCUACCUAUUGUUUAGUGUACGUGAUUUUUAUUCGGUCUGACAUUGAAAAGAUGUAAUUCCUGCUUGUUAACACCAGAUGUCGUACCAGCCGUGCAGCACACGGAUCCCCAUCAAGUAAGUGAACAGUCUCGCUGAUGUCCACUGGAGACAUAAUAAAGAGUUACAAAUAAAAGCCACUUAUAUGAUUGUCCAAUAGGAAAUAAUCAAUAAGGUGUAAUUUUGACUCAACUAAUUGUUUUCCCAAAACCAACUGUAUUAUUAUUGGGGUUUCUGUUGACAGAAGGAGCCACAAGUUUCAUGAAUUAAAAGUGUUUUUCCACAUUAUUGUCUGUAUUUAAAUCAUUUUGCCGUUUGGGCGCACUCUAUUACAGUUUGACACACCAGUAAAAUAAACAGUUGAACAUAAGUGUUUUAUGAAUUAUUAUUUGCAGUUGCCUUUUCAUGAUACAUAUUAUAUGGCCGGGUUUGGUACGUGUUCUUUUAAGUACUUAAAAUAUAAACAUUUUGCAGUGAAAAUAUCAGGUGCCUACCGUCACCACAGGGUGGAGCCAUAGUGUCACAGUUACACCGUCUACACACUGCUACGUCACUGCAGCACCAGUUCAAUUUAUAACCCAUAUGAUGUUAUGAUCUUUGGCUGACCUCAACGUUUAAUAAAGCUGAGUUAUGACUAACCGAAAGAACCAGGCUGGUUAUUUCAAAUCAUACAUCUGUGUCUGGACAGUGUGUAAACCGCAUUAUGAAUAGGCAUGUUUUUAAUCAAACUCUAAUGCUACAGUCUCUCUUGCUCCAAACAGAAACCCUGGAAUCAUAAACUGGGCCAGUGAUUAGUGAUUAAAAAUAACAGGAAGUUCCUGUUUGGUUGUAGAGCAGAUAAGCAGAAGUUUGCUUCCUCAAUCGGCCCCAGUUUCAUCCACGAGGCGAAAAACACCCCCCGAAACCAAGUCUGACCACAGUUUCAACAAGUCUGGUCUGUGUGUAUUUGAAAGAUUACACAAAAAAACGUGUAAUGGAAAGCCUUGACAAGGUCCGUCUUUUUCAGUUGCGUCUUUUUUUUCAAUCGGUAAUGCAAUAAAAUCAUCACAUAAAAAACCUUGCUCUCUGAUGUGAUGA
Gasterosteus aculeatus aculeatus (three-spined stickleback) is the source of this 4215-nucleotide long non-coding RNA. The record is from Ensembl. Lineage: Eukaryota; Metazoa; Chordata; Actinopteri; Perciformes; Gasterosteidae.